Molecule: long non-coding RNA, 4720 nt
Filed under: Podarcis lilfordi (Lilford's wall lizard)
Lineage: Eukaryota; Metazoa; Chordata; Lepidosauria; Squamata; Lacertidae
Source: RNAcentral
CCACAGGCAUGCAGGAACCAAAGGCGAGAUGAAACAUUAAUGUAGGACAAGCUUGUUUUAUAUAUAUAAAAAACAGAAACCUUAAAAAUCUUACAUGUGGAUUUCUAGGCUGUUGGUAUUUUGCCUUGAUCAUAUUUGGGGGAAUUGCUUUGAGGAUUGGAUGAGUCUUAAUGGCUACAGCUUGUUUGGGCUAUUAAUGUUAUGAUAUUCCUCUCUGUGUUUUUUAGACACAGCCUCAAGCAUUAAAGGUGCCAGCUUGGGUCCUGAAUUGCAGUGCUGGGUGAAGCUUUCCUUUUGCAUUCACUCUUUUUCCUGGCAGCCCCUCAAGCUAUCCUGAACAGGCUGGGCCUAUGAUGUGAAGUGAUUUGAUGGGGAACAGAUGAAAACUGAGCAUGAGUACCUGCCUAUCCCAUUCAGGAGAGUCCCCUACCCUGAGACAGGCAUUUGGGUGGUCAGUGGGCUGCCCAUCCCUUUAUGCUUACUCUUCUAUGGAUUUGAACAGUCCAGUUUUAUAAUCUUAGGUAAAGGUAAAAUUAGGUGAAAAAGGUAAAAUUAGGUCCAGUCGUGACCGACUCUGGGGUUGCUUCCGGGUCAUGUGGCCAGCAUGACUAAGCCACUUCUGGCGAACCAGAGCAGCGCACGGAAAUGCCGUUUACCUUCCCGACGGAGCGGUACCUAUUUAUCUACUUGCACUUUGACGUGCUUUUGAACUGCUAGGUUGGCAGGAGCAGGGAUCGAGCAACGGGAGCUCACUCUGUCACGGGGAUUCAAACCGCUGACCUUCUGAUCAGCAAGUCCUAAGCUCUGUGGUUUAACCCACAGCAUCACCCGUGUCCCGGAUAAUCUUGCACCUCACAAUUUGCCUUUUAAGAAUAGGUCUUAAAAGUACAGUAACUGUACAACUGAUUGAAUGUAAUAAAAUUCCUACUGUAUUGUUACCAAUGCUAAAUAGCAACAGAAUGGAGUAGCCAUAUAAAAAUUAGGAUUGCAGCCUUUGUUGAAACGAUUCACAUCUUUUUUUUCUAAUAGAUUGCACUACGUAUGUGCUUAGGUAAUAUUGGCUAAACAGAACUGUGACCACUGAAUUGUCAAACCUCAGCUAUCCCAUGCAAGAAACCAAAGUUUACUAAAACUACAAAGAGUGCAAUAUUUUGGAGAGCUACUGAUUGAGCAUGUCAGAAGCACAACCAGGGCACAACUUCCAAGUCACAACUCUCAUAUACCUGCAAUGGAAUUGAUGUUUUGACCUGAAAUGUGACAGAAUCACUUCAAGGAAACAGUGUGAAAUGCCACAUGCCUACUUAAUAAAGAGGUGUGAAAAGUAUUAAGCAGCCAUUUCUAAUAAUCUUUGUCUGGUUUGGAACAAAAAAGGUUUUUUUAAAAAAAGCAUAGAAUAAAAUGCCUUCCUUUAAAAAAAUGUGUACUGGUUUUCAGCUUAUAGUUCCAUAAGCAAUAGCACAAAUAACAACUACAACUGUUUUGUUGGUAUCUGUCUGUCUUGAGAGACAAUGGAGUGCGCCUCCAGGGGUGAAGUCAAACUGCUGCAUUAGCAGCACCAAAGUGACCUCUCAGGGGCAGAAGCCUGGGCAGUGUAUAUGGAAGUCCUGGGCUGCCCAGAUGACAAGACCCUCCUCUCAGCCUUGCUGAUGUGGGCCAAAGGAAAACACCAGCUUGGCUGCCAGAGUUGCUGCAAGGAGGUAAACAAGGCGCCAUUCAACUGUCUUAGAGGCUCCACUCUGGAUAUCUUACAAGGCUGAGGAGGUUUACGGCAAGUUUUCCUUCUUUUUGAGGGGCUACCUUCCCAGAUUGACAAGCCUCAUUUUCUUAUAGACAGAAGUUAUUCAAGGUUUGUCCCGUUUCUGUUUGUUUCCAGGACAAAUAGUAUAUAUCUAAGUUGUGUCUUUGAAAUAUGUCUUACCACAACAUGUGGCUUUGGUGGGCUUCAGACAUUAUCUCUUCUGUUCAUAAAAUUCAUAAAGCCACCCAUACAUCUUUUCAGUAUAGUCAUACCUCAUGUUACGUUUGCUUCAGGUUACAUUCUUUCAGGUUACGUCCUGCAGCGACCCGGAAGUUUUGCCUCUUGCGCAUGCGCAGAAGCGCAAAAUGACGCCACGCGCAUGUGCAGACGUGGCAAAUCGCAACCCGCACGUGCGCAGGGUUGCACCCUUUUCACGUUGCAAACGGGCCUCCGAAAUGGGUCCCGUUCACAACCAGAGGUACCACUGUAUUGUUUCUGGGCCUGAGGCCAGUGCUCACAUCAUAACAGAUGCCACAGUAUUAAAUGUAUAGAUUCUGCUGGUUUCCAUCUUUUUUCUCUUGUUGCUUAUUUACUUUUAAGGUGGACUCUGAUCAAAAACCCUACAGAAUUGCUGACAGGUCCAAUUUGUGAUGAAGGCAACUAUUUCUCCCGAGCUGGUUUCAAAACUGCAAGAUGGAAGUGAAAUUGACAAGAUGUGUGCAAUGAAGAGUCAAAUGCACUGGAUGGAUAGAAACAGGACACAAUUUUUUAAAUAAGGUUAAUAUGGAAAUUUAACAACCACACAUACAAAUAACCAAAUCAGGCCAGUGAUAGAGAAAACCUAGAGUCAUCUCUGGAGCCCCCCGGCCACCCGUCUGUACCACCAAAUGGCCUCCAGGAACAAAGGCAUUGAACUAUGGUUUAAACUUUUUGCUCAUCCUUGGUCUAAAUGAGACAUGGGAAACCUAUAGCACUCCAAAUGGAGUUGGACUACAACUGCCCUCAUCCCUAACCAUUGGCCGUGCUGGCUGGGCUGAUGGUACUUGCAGUUAGGGAUGCUAGAGAAUUUUGAUGGAAAUGGAAAUGGGAAUUUUGAUGGAAAUUGCUGUUGUUCGCUUAUUCAUCCCAUUGGAAAGGAAAUCAAUCUAGCAAUUUUUUUUCAAAGACACCGUUGAUGGAAUCUUUCGAGGAGUUGGAGAUGGCCUUGUUUCACAAGCAUACAGUAAGGUUGGUAGUACAAUAGCUUUGUAAACAAGCAUUUUGGUUUCCCUGCGAAUGUCCCAGUCCUCAAACACUCUGCACUUCAAUUGGGAGAAAGCCGCACUCGCAGAGCUCAGGCGAUGCUGGAUGUUGGCAUCAAUGUCGGCCCUUGUCAAAAGCCUUAGUCAGGUCAAUAAAUGCCAUAUGCAGGGAUUGGUUUUACUCUCUGCAUUUUUCUUGAAGCUGUCAAGCGGUGAAAACCAUGUCCACUGUCCCCCUAGAUGGCCUAAAACCAUUUUGGGAUUCAGGAAGGGUCACCUCGGAUAUUGUUAAAAGACAGUUUGCUAAGAUCCUUACAAUAAUUUUGCCGGCCUCGGCUGAUAGAGAGAUGCCUCGAUAGUUUCGGCAAUCAGUUCUGUCACCUUUUUAAAAGAGAUUGAUAAUUUUGGCAUCCCUAAAGUCUGUUGGGAUCUCUUCUCUCUCCCAGAUUUUUUUGAUGAGCUUGUGAAGUUGUUGUGUAAGUUCCAUCCCACCCACUUUGAAGAGCUCAAUAACAUUUGAGCAAUCUACCAUUCUGUGUGCCUGUUGUCUUUGUCCAUGGAGUUUUCUUGGCAGGGAUACUGGAUUGGCUUGCCGGUUCCUGCUCCAGGUGGAUCACAUUUGGUCAAAAUUCUCCACUAUGACCUGUCCAUCUUGGGUGGCCCUGCACGGCAUAGCUCAUAGCUUCUCUGAGUUAUUCAAGCCCCUUCGCCAUGGCAAGGCAGUGAUCCAUGUAGGAAGUGAGAGCUGGACCAUAAAGAAGGCUGAUUGCUGAAGAAUGGGUGCUUUUGAAUUAUGGUGCUGGAGGAGACUGUUGAGAGUCCCAUGGACUGCAAGAAGAUCAAACCUAUCCUUUCUUAAGGAAAUCAGCCCUGAGUGAUCACUGGAGGGAGGGAUCGUGAAGCUGAGGCUCCAAUACUUUGGCCACCUCAUGAGAAGAGAAGACUCCCCGGAAAUAACCCUGAUGUUGGGAAAGAUGGAGGGCACAAGCCGAAGGGGACGACAGAGGAUGAGAUGGUUGGACAGUGUUCUCGAAGCUAUCAGCAUGAGUUUGACCAAACUGCAGGAGGCAGUGGAAGACAGGAGUGCUUGGCGUGCUCUGGUCCAUGGGGUCACAAAGAGUCGGACACGACUAAAUGACUAAACAACAACAACCAUUCUGUAAUUUCCAGCAACUUGUAUUCAGAAGCAUUUGCUGCCCUCAACCAUGGAGGCAGAACAUUUUCCGACUGGGUUCUCUCUCAGCCCUCCCUGGAGAUGCCAGGGUUUGAAACAGGGAUCUUCUGUAUGCAAAGCAGAUGCUGUACCAUGGAUCCCUUCCCUGGGGUACUGCCUGCUUUUUUAAAGGGGGAAGUAUGGCUUGUCCUCAGCCCUUCCCCCUUUAGUAACAACUUUGUAUUGAUUUUUUCAGGGUGAGAGAUCAUGCACAUGAAAUGUGGAAAUGGGAUGGAACCGACUUCCUUGUGAGCAGAUGUGACAGGGACAUGAAUUAGAUUUAUACUGAUCUGUCUAUCCACUGAAACACUCUAUAAAGUGUUACAGCAAUGGUGAGUAUUGCUUUGAGGCAUCCCAUAGUCUUCUUAUGUGAACAGGCAGAGGAGGCAAGGGAAGGCUCAAUAUGAUCCCUCAAUUGAUUGGCCAUCGGUAUAGCAUAUAAUGGCUUUUGCAGUUUUUCUUAUGCUAACAUGUCUCCAGAAAAUGCUUCUUUAACCUAUUUGAAUGUAAAUAACAUAAAGAAUGUGG